CUGGUGGCUGGUGCCUCGUGCACUCGGCAGGCCUUUAUUGAACACCAUUGGUGCCACGCUGAGGGACUGCAGCGUUUCCAAGGCGGGCAUCCAGUGAUCGCGGCUCGCAGACCCUCAGCGCAGCCGCUGCCUGCUAUUGGGAGGUUCUCAUGUCCUGCGGAAGCUGAAGCUCCUCACUGCUCUGCGCGCAGACGCCUAAUCCCCAGCCCAGGGCCGAGUGGCGGCGGCGGGCGAGGACCCAGGGAGCUCCCGGAUUGUCGGAACGCUAGGGUUGCUUCCCGUUUUGUGCCGUGCGGAGGAGGGGCCGGGGCUCUGGGCUCCCGCCACGUCCAUCCACCCUUGAAAUUACCCCUUCCAGGCGGGUCUGAAACAAGAGUCUACUCGCUGGGUCCGCCCCUGCGGCCCCCAGGAUGCUAGGACGCCCACAAAGAUAACCUUAAACUAUUCGGCUCGGCCUACAGACCUCAGCGCUAGACAUGGACGCCCUUCAAAGGAGGACAUUUCAGCGGACGGCAGAGAAUACAGAUUUAUGUCGGGGCGGUGUGGAAGGAGCCUCUGGCGGGUCAUCCCCAUUUAUGGGAGAUCGCAGAGUGGUGAGCGAAGACUUACACCAGCGGGGGCAUCCGUGCGGAACUGAAACUGUUGUGGGGGACCCCCAGUCGCCCUGGUUUCUGGGGCUGAUUCAUUAUGUCACUUAGUUUCUACUAUUCUCAUGCCACCCCGCCAUUUACUAGACAUAAAGCAUUCUUAAGGGAGCCCGGCUAGCUCAGUCGGUAGAGCAUGAGACUCUUAAUCUCAGGGUCGUGGGUUCGAGCCCCACGUUGGGCGACUUGUUUUCUUCCUUGCUACCUUGGAGUUCUGGAAACAGCCAGCGUUUAAUGAACACUGCUAGGUGCCACAUCGCGCUCUGUGAUGGUAUCUCCUCCAUCAUUGAAUUUUGGUCCCCGCGCGCUCGCAGCAGCGAGGAUUGUCUGUGAAGUGACCAAAGGCAGC
This is a long non-coding RNA of Piliocolobus tephrosceles (Ugandan red Colobus), 993 nucleotides long. RefSeq lists it as uncharacterized. The transcript is spliced from 3 exons. The record is from RefSeq and is a predicted model, not a curated record. Lineage: Eukaryota; Metazoa; Chordata; Mammalia; Primates; Cercopithecidae.